RNAcentral lists this long non-coding RNA (488 nucleotides) under Homo sapiens (human). RNAcentral's name for it is "non-protein coding LINC01220:2". The record is from RNAcentral. Lineage: Eukaryota; Metazoa; Chordata; Mammalia; Primates; Hominidae.
AAUGCUGGGCGAAGGCUCCGAGCCACGAGACCCCCGCCUCCUGUCCCGGGACCCACCCAGGCGGAGGCAAGGGCAGGGGCGCUGGGGGCCCAGAGAGAGGGCGCCGCGAUGGAUGAAUGAGCUGUUUCCAGCAUUCCUGCUUCAACUCAAAAUUUUCCUUCAUGGCACAGUGGAAAGCUUUGAAGACGGCGGUUCUGGGGCUGAAUAUGAAGGCAACUCGGACUAAGAAGACGACUGCUUUCCAACUGCCCUCCCGUCCUGCAGCCGCCUGAUUUGAGGAAGGGGCUGGGAUCCUUCCCCUUGCCCUCUGGUUGUUCUUGGAGUUACAGCAGCCCCGCGGCAGCUCUGCCCCCUAGUGCACAUGUGAGGCAGCGCGCCCUUCUCCAAUCCAGAAGCCUCGUCGCGGUGCUGCCAGCAAGGGAGUUUUUCUGUAUUCACUUUGGUGGAAAUAGCAAAACUUGACAGAAAAAAAACCCAAGCCAAACCAA